Molecule: ribosomal RNA, 348 nt
Filed under: uncultured bacterium
Lineage: Bacteria
Description: partial 16S ribosomal RNA
Rfam family: Bacterial small subunit ribosomal RNA
Source: RNAcentral
CCUACGGGAGGCAGCAGUAGGGAAUUUUCGGCAAUGGGGGGAACCCUGACCGAGCAACGCCGCGUGAACGAAGAAGUUAUUCUUAAUGUAAAGUUCUUUUAACAGGGAAGUAAGAGAAAUUUGACGGUACCUGAAGAAUAAGCUCCGGCAAACUCCGUGACAGCAGCCGCGGUAAAACGUAGGGAGCGAGCGUUAUAGGGAAUUAUUGGGCGUAAAGGGUGCGUAAAUGGCAUAGUAAGUCUUUGGUAAAAGUGCUGGGCUCAACCCAGUAGUGCAAAAGAUACUGCAAAGCUAGAGUAUGACAGAGGCAAGUGGAACUACAUGUGUAGCGGUAAAAUGCGUAAAUAU